UACGGAGGGUCCAAGCGUUAUCCGGAAUCAUUGGGUUUAAAGGGUCCGUAGGCGGUUUUGUAAGUCAGUGGUGAAAGCCCAUCGCUCAGCGGUGGAACGGCCAUUGAUACUGCAAGACUUGAAUUAUUAGGAAGUAACUAGAAUAUGUAGUGUAGCGGUGAAAUGCUUAGAUAUUACAUGGAAUACCAAUUGCGAAGGCAGGUUACUACUAAUAUAUUGACGCUGAUGGACGAAAGCGUGGGGAGCGAACAGG
This 253-nucleotide ribosomal RNA is filed under the name uncultured bacterium. RNAcentral's name for it is "partial 16S ribosomal RNA". It matches the Rfam family "Bacterial small subunit ribosomal RNA", at positions 524 to 776 of the family's 1533-position model. The record is from RNAcentral.